This 216-nucleotide long non-coding RNA is filed under the name Elaeis guineensis (African oil palm). RNAcentral's name for it is "long non-coding RNA (EGUI_LNC038664)". Lineage: Eukaryota; Viridiplantae; Streptophyta; Magnoliopsida; Arecales; Arecaceae. The record is from RNAcentral.
CUCGAAGUCCUACACUGAUCGAUCAUCCCAAAAAUACUAGCUCGUGCAAUGAUCCUAUAGAUGGCUGAUCUUGCUCUUUCUACGAAUCUCUUAGAUUCCUUUGAGAAUGUAGGAGGAACGAAGAGGAUCUGGUGAUGAAAGGAAAAAGGAGAAUUUUCUUUUCUCUUUUAUUUUCUUCACCCAAAAUCCUAGAACAGAUUUUAGAUCUCUCACCCA